UACCAGCACCCCGAGUGGUCGGGACGUUUAUUGGGCCUAAAGCAUCCGUAGCCGGUUCUACAAGUCUUCCGUUAAAUCCACCUGCUCAACAGAUGGGCUGCGGAAGAUACUAUGGAGCUAGGAGGCGGGAGAGGCAAGCGGUACUCGAUGGGUAGGGGUAAAAUCCGUUGAUCCAUUGAAGACCACCAGUGGCGAAGGCGGCUUGCCAGAACGCGCUCGACGGUGAGGGAUGAAAGCUGGGGGAACAAACCGG
This 253-nucleotide ribosomal RNA is filed under the name uncultured bacterium. RNAcentral describes it as "partial 16S ribosomal RNA". It matches the Rfam family "Archaeal small subunit ribosomal RNA", at positions 474 to 727 of the family's 1478-position model. The record is from RNAcentral.